GUCUCGGUGGCGCAAUGGUAGCGCGUUGGACUUCUACCACACAGUUGUUUGUUACAUCUCUGUAAUCCAAAGGCUGCGGGUUCGAGCCCCGCCCGAGAUG
This is a non-coding RNA of Plenodomus tracheiphilus IPT5, 100 nucleotides long. The record is from the annotation of a GenBank genome assembly. NCBI's taxonomy places the organism in Eukaryota, Fungi, Ascomycota, Dothideomycetes, Pleosporales, Leptosphaeriaceae.